RNAcentral lists this ribosomal RNA (253 nucleotides) under uncultured bacterium. RNAcentral describes it as "partial 16S ribosomal RNA". It matches the Rfam family "Bacterial small subunit ribosomal RNA", at positions 524 to 776 of the family's 1533-position model. The record is from RNAcentral.
GACGUAGGGCGCAAGCGUUGUCCGGAUUUAUUGGGCGUAAAGAGCGCGCAGGCGGUCGGAUAAGUCGAAUGUGAAAGCCCCCGGCUCAACUGGGGAGGGUCAUUCGAUACUGUUCGACUCGAAGGCAGGAGAGGGAAGUGGAAUUCCCGGUGUAGUGGUGAAAUGCGUAGAUAUCGGGAGGAACACCAGUGGCGAAGGCGACUACCUGGCCUGUUCUUGACGCUGAGGCGCGAAAGCUAGGGGAGCAAACGGG